Sceloporus undulatus (fence lizard) is the source of this 502-nucleotide long non-coding RNA. RefSeq lists it as uncharacterized. NCBI's taxonomy places the organism in Eukaryota, Metazoa, Chordata, Lepidosauria, Squamata, Phrynosomatidae. The record is from RefSeq and is a predicted model, not a curated record. The transcript is spliced from 2 exons.
UGGUGCCCCUAUCCAGACGGCGUGAGCAGCAAGCUGCAGGGCAGCCACAUCUUCACGAUCGCCAAGCGGAACGUGGAGGGCCAGGACAUGCUCUACCAGUCCCUCAAGCUCACCAACGGCAUCUGGGUUUUGGCCGAACUGCGCAUCCAGCCGGGGAACCCCCAUUUCACGCUUUCCUUGAAGUGUCGCGCCCCAGAAGUCGCGCAACACGUCUUCCAGGCAUACGAAACCAUCCUGAAGAACUGAAAGACCCAUUGUCCUCCGUUCCCCUCUGCAUCCCUCUCUUUCUCUGUCUCUUUGCUCCCUCCUUUUAAUGGGACCAUUUCCCCCUCCGCAAGCCAUUGCCUCGUCUCCUCUAGUGAUCUGAACAUGAGACGCGCACUGCCACCGCAAAAACAGUGCCGCUCCGUCCUGCGCGGUCAUCUUUUUGCGUCCCCUUCCGGUCCUGCUAGCUUCCCGAACCAAUAAACGAUCAAUACUCUCAGCGCUGAGGAGUUAAAAA